CCUACGGGAGGCAGCAGUGGGGAAUAUUGCACAAUGGGGGAAACCCUGAUGCAGCGACGCCGCGUGAGUGAAGAAGUAUUUCGGUAUGUAAAGCUCUAUCAGCAGGGAAGAAGAAAGACGGUACCUGACUAAGAAGCCCCGGCUAACUACGUGCCAGCAGCCGCGGCAAUACGUAGGGGGCAAGCGUUAUCCGGAUUUACUGGGUGUAAAGGGAGCGUAGACGGCUGUGCAAGUCUGAAGUGAAAGCCCAGGGCUCAACCCUGGGACUGCUUUGGAAACUGUGGAGCUAGAGUGCUGGAGAGGUGAGUGGAAGUCCUAGUGUAGCGGUGAAAUGCGUAGAUAUUAGGAGGAACACCAGUGGCGAAGGCGACUUACUGGACAGUAACUGACGUUGAGGCUCGAAAGCGUGGGGAGCAAACAGGAUUAGAUACCCGUGUAGUC
Molecule: ribosomal RNA, 441 nt
Filed under: uncultured bacterium
Lineage: Bacteria
Description: partial 16S ribosomal RNA
Rfam family: Bacterial small subunit ribosomal RNA
Source: RNAcentral